RNAcentral lists this ribosomal RNA (402 nucleotides) under uncultured bacterium. Its description in RNAcentral is "bacterial SSU rRNA". It matches the Rfam family "Bacterial small subunit ribosomal RNA", at positions 29 to 455 of the family's 1533-position model. The record is from RNAcentral.
AACGAACGCUGGCGGCAGGCUUAACACAUGCAAGUCGAACGCUCGUAGCAAUACGGGAGUGGCGGACGGGUGAGUAACGCGUGGGAACGUGCCCUGAGGUACGGAAUAACUGAGGGAAACUUCAGCUAAUACCGUAUGAGCCCCGAGAGGGGAAAGAUUUAUCGCCUUGGGAGCGGCCCGCGUCGGAUUAGCUAGUUGGUGGGGUAACGGCCUACCAAGGCUUCGAUCCGUAGCUGGUCUGAGAGGACGAUCAGCCACACUGGGACUGAGACACGGCCCAGACUCCUACGGGAGGCAGCAGUGGGGAAUCUUGCGCAAUGGGGGCAACCCUGACGCAGCCAUGCCGCGUGAACGAUGAAGGCCUUAGGGUUGUAAAGUUCUUUUACCCGUGACGAUGAUGAC